This 468-nucleotide ribosomal RNA is filed under the name uncultured bacterium. RNAcentral describes it as "partial 16S ribosomal RNA". It matches the Rfam family "Bacterial small subunit ribosomal RNA", at positions 28 to 507 of the family's 1533-position model. The record is from RNAcentral.
GACGAACGCUGGCGGCGUGCUUAACACAUGCAAGUCGAACGGAAAGGCCCUGCUUUUGUGGGGUGCUCGAGUGGCGAACGGGUGAGUAACACGUGAGUAACCUGCCCUUGACUUUGGGAUAACUUCAGGAAACUGGGGCUAAUACCGGAUCGGAGCUCCUGCUGCAUGGUGGGGGUUGGAAAGUUUCGGCGGUUGGGGUUGGACUCGCGGCUUAUCAGCUUGUUGGUGGGGUAGUGGCUUACCAAGGCUUUGACGGGUAGCCGGCCUGAGAGGGUGACCGGCCACAUUGGGACUGAGAUACGGCCCAGACUCCUACGGGAGGCAGCAGUGGGGAAUAUUGCACAAUGGGCGGAAGCCUGAUGCAGCAGCGCCGCGUGCGGGAUGACGGCCUUCGGGUAGUAAACCGCUUUCGCCUGUGACGAAGCGUGAGUGACGGUAAUGGGUAAAGAAGCACCGGCUAACUACGUG